Molecule: ribosomal RNA, 253 nt
Filed under: uncultured bacterium
Lineage: Bacteria
Description: partial 16S ribosomal RNA
Rfam family: Bacterial small subunit ribosomal RNA
Source: RNAcentral
UACGUAGGUGGCGAGCGUUGUCCGGAUUUAUUGGGUUUAAAGGGUGCGUAGGCGGCUUUGUAAGUCAGUGGUGAAAUACUCUAGCUUAACUAGAGGGGUGCCAUUGAUACUGCGGAGCUUGAGUACAGAUGAGGUAGGCGGAAUUGACGGUGUAGCGGUGAAAUGCAUAGAUAUCGUCAAGAACACCGAUAGCGAAGGCAGCUUACUGGGCUGUAACUGGCGCUGAGGCACGAAAGUGUGGGGAUCAAACAGG